UUUUUUUUUUUAUUUUUCAAGAAAAUGAAACCUAAUAUUACUUUGAACAUUUUUUUUCUAAAAAGCGAUUUUCUCGUAUGGAUUUUGUCAUAGAAUUGCUACACACUAUAUAUUUUUAUUUAAUGACCACAUGAUAAACCUUAGUUAUAAAAAACAAAAAUACCCAGAAGAAAUGUAAUUGAUACAUGCAUACAGUUAAUUAUGAUAAUAUAGAUAAUAUAAUAGAAAGUGACUAUUCUGAUAGCAUAAUAGAAAUUGACCUGAGUGAUAAUUUGGAUGAUACCAAAUGAAACAACAAUCAUGCAUCUUAUGUGAAAUAAUUGAUUAUGGAGAAUGUGGGUACCGCAUUCGAACAGCUGUUGGAUUCUUAAAUGGAUAUUUUGUGGAGAAAUUAAAUUGAAACUGUUAAAGACACGUCUUUAUUUGCAGCAGCAGUUUCUGAGCUUCAACUUUCACUAUGUGAAGCUUUUAACAAAAUUAUAGUCAGGGUUCUCUUUCAUGUAAAUACAAGGAGGGGUAGUAGCACUUCUAAAUGUGAAUGCUAAAAAGAUGUUGUGUAAUUACCAAAGGCAAUAUUUCACUCACAUACUCAAACAAAUGAUAAAUAACUAUUUUUGUAUUUUGUAAAUAAGUAUAAAAGGAGAUGUGGUAUGAUUGCCAAUCAGACAACUCUCCAAAAGAGA
This 683-nucleotide long non-coding RNA is filed under the name Mytilus galloprovincialis (Mediterranean mussel). The record is from RNAcentral. Lineage: Eukaryota; Metazoa; Mollusca; Bivalvia; Mytilida; Mytilidae.